GAUGAACGCUGGCGGCGUGCCUAAUACAUGCAAGUCGAGCGAACAGACGAGGAGCUUGCUCCUCUGACGUUAGCGGCGGACGGGUGAGUAACACGUGGAUAACCUACCUAUAAGACUGGGAUAACUUCGGGAAACCGGAGCUAAUACCGGAUAAUAUAUUGAACCGCAUGGUUCAAUAGUGAAAGACGGCUUUGCUGUCACUUAUAGAUGGAUCCGCGCCGCAUUAGCUAGUUGGUAAGGUAACGGCUUACCAAGGCAACGAUGCGUAGCCGACCUGAGAGGGUGAUCGCCCACACUGGAACUGAGACACGGUCCAGACUCCUACGGGAGGCAGCAGUAGGGAAUCUUCCGCAAUGGGCGAAAGCUUGACGGAGCAACGCCGCGUGGGUGAUGAAGGUCUUCGGAUCGUAAAACUCUGUUAUUAGGGAAGAACAAAUGUGUAAGUAACUGUGCCCGUCUUGACGGUACCUAAUCAGAAAGCCACGGCUAACUACGUG
This 497-nucleotide ribosomal RNA is filed under the name uncultured bacterium. RNAcentral describes it as "partial 16S ribosomal RNA". It matches the Rfam family "Bacterial small subunit ribosomal RNA", at positions 28 to 507 of the family's 1533-position model. The record is from RNAcentral.